ACAUAUCAAUAAAUUGCUAAAUUUAAUUUAGUGCUAACGGGAUAAAGUCAACCAACCAUAUCAAACCAAAUUUACUCAAAAUCUUCUCAGCAUGAAGAGAACAACAAACACAUUGACACAAGACAACUGGUUCAAUUCAGCAAUCUAAACAGAAACUACACCAAAAUUUCUCAUUAAAUAAUCAGAACCAGCCCCACAAAAAGACUAGAGUUUUAUCACUUAUCCAUAACUAAUCACCCUUCUUCCUGAAGGAGCACCCCUCUGUUAGCCUUGCUUUGCCACCAGUUGGCUGGCACAAAACCGUCUGACAGUUGCCGCAAACCACGACUGUUUGAGAGUGGCUAAAUACGGUAGUUCUGCAACCAAAAAUUUCAACCAUUAUAAACUAACAAGUCAAAUCAAAGGUGUCCUAUAAUAAGUUGGUUUCAAUUUUUAUCAAAAAUUUGAUUUCUACUUUGAAGGGAAGAUAAAUGUUGUAGUUCUGCAUCCACAAAUUUCAACCAUUAUAAACUAACAAGUUGAACCAAUGUUGUUCUAUAAUAAGAACGUCUCAAAUUCAACUUCUACUUUGAAAGAAAAAACAGAUUUUAAUUAUAAUAACAUUUCGAGUAUCAUUGUACCUAAACAGUAUAAAUCUAAUUAGUAGAGAAGUCCAUAACUAUCAUUGUGACAUUGUUCCUAAACAAUAUAAAUAUGAUAAGCAGUCCAUGAUGUGCAUAAAAUCCAUCAAUUUAGUCUAUGAUAGGGAUUAAAUUGAUGAAUUUUCAUAUACUUUGAAAAUAAAUUAACGGAAUUCGGAACUGUUUAUUAUACUUAUAUAACUUAGGAACUAGAUUGAAAAGAGUGAUAGUUCAAUGACUAAAUUUAAGGUUUAUUCAACUAAAAGAAAUGGUUUUAUAAUUAUCAACAAUUUCACUUAUACUAUACUAUAUACAACAAAGAACAAAUUUAAAAACAAAUUACUUUUAUAUUCAACCGGGUCUGUAGUAUCUAUGACACAUAAAACAAUGUAUUUCUCAAACAAAUAAAAUAACAUAGAAAUUAGAGACUUACAUGUUGAAGCAUCCUUGGCAUUUGACAUCCUAUAACAAAUCCAAAAUGAAACAAAAACACAAAUUACAAAUGGAAUAGAAAGAAGAAAAAAAAAAGCUUAAAAUUUAACAAAGGAAACAAUAAAAAUAAAAAAAUAAAAAACUAACCAUGAAGAAUGAGUUAGGAGAUUGAACGAGACGCUUGAGCUUGUGCUUCCUUUUCUCAAGUUCCGCUGGUGGAUUCAAGAGAUCGAUGUCGUUUUGGAGAACCUGAAAACAAUAAAAUCAGCAAACUUAAUAAAUCAGAAUUGGAGCGAUUCAGAGGUUUAUUUACGUAGAAAAACAGAGGAGAGAGUAGUUAACCAUUGUUGAGGUUGAGAGAUGAAUCAAAUCGCAAACCCUAGAAACUCUUGAUGAGAUUGGAAGGGGCUGCGACUGCA
This 1471-nucleotide long non-coding RNA is filed under the name Medicago truncatula (barrel medic). RNAcentral describes it as "lncRNA gene6675". The record is from RNAcentral. Lineage: Eukaryota; Viridiplantae; Streptophyta; Magnoliopsida; Fabales; Fabaceae.